CGUAGGAUGAACGCUGGCGGCGUGCUUAACACAUGCAAGUCGAACGAUGAUGCCAGCUUGCUGGUGGAUUAGUGGCGAACGGGUGAGUAACACGUGAGUAACCUGCCMUUAACUCUGGGAUAAGCCUGGGAAACUGGGUCUAAUACCGGAUAUGACCUUCCAUCGCAUGGUGGUUGGUGGAAAGCUUUUUGUGGUUUUGGAUGGACUCGCGGCCUAUCAGCUUGUUGGUGAGGUAAUGGCUUACCAAGGCGACGACGGGUAGCCGGCCUGAGAGGGUGACCGGCCACACUGGGACUGAGACACGGCCCAGACUCNUACGGGAGGCAGCAGUGGGGAAUAUUGCACAAUGGGCGCAAGCCUGAUGCAGCGACGCCGCGUGAGGGAUGACGGCCUUCGGGUUGUAAACCUCUUUCAGUAGGGAAGAAGCGAAAGUGACGGUACCUGCAGAAGAAGCGCCGGCUAACUACGUGCCAGCAGCCGCGGUAAUACGUAGGGCGCAAGCGUUAUCCGGAAUUAUUGGGCGUAAAGAGCUCGUAGGCGGUUUGUCGCGUCUGCCGUGAAAGUCCGGGGCUCAACUCCGGAUCUGCGGUGGGUACGGGCAGACUAGAGUGAUGUAGGGGAGAACUGGAAUUCCUGGUGUAGCGGUGAAAUGCGCAGAUAUCAGGAGGAACACCGAUGGCGAAGGCAGGUCUCUGGGCAUUAACUGACGCUGAGGAGCGAAAGCAUGGGGAGCGAACAGGAUUAGAUACCCUGGUAGUCCAUGCCGUAAACGUUGGGCACUAGGUGUGGGGGACAUUCCACGUUUUCCGCGCCGUAGCUAACGCAUUAAGUGCCCCGCCUGGGGAGUACGGCCGCAAGGCUAAAACUACAGAGAGGUAAUUGAGCGGGGGCCCGCACAAGCGGCGGAGUCAUGCGGAUUAAUUACGAUGCAACGCGAAGCAACCUUACCAAGGNUUGAUCAUGAAGCCGGUAACGCCUGGAGAGCAGUGCCCCGCUGCGUCGUACCAGG
Molecule: ribosomal RNA, 1009 nt
Filed under: actinobacterium RG-12
Lineage: Bacteria; Bacillati; Actinomycetota; Actinomycetes
Description: bacterial SSU rRNA
Rfam family: Bacterial small subunit ribosomal RNA
Source: RNAcentral